AUUGAACGCUGGCGGCAGGCCUAACACAUGCAAGUCGAACGGUAACAGGAAGAAGCUUGCUUCUUUGCUGACGAGUGGCGGACGGGUGAGUAAUGUCUGGGAAACUGCCUGAUGGAGGGGGAUAACUACUGGAAACGGUAGCUAAUACCGCAUAACGUCGCAAGACCAAAAAAGGGGGACCCUUUCGGGGCCCUCUUGCCAUCGGAUGUGCCCAGAUGGGAUUAGCUAGUAGGUGGGGUAACGGCUCACCUAGGCGACGAUCCCUAGCUGGUCUGAGAGGAUGACCAGCCACACUGGAACUGAGACACGGUCCAGACUCCUACGGGAGGCAGCAGUGGGGAAUAUUGCACAAUGGGCGCAAGCCUGAUGCAGCCAUGCCGCGUGUAUGAAGAAGG
This 395-nucleotide ribosomal RNA is filed under the name uncultured bacterium. RNAcentral's name for it is "bacterial SSU rRNA". It matches the Rfam family "Bacterial small subunit ribosomal RNA", at positions 30 to 414 of the family's 1533-position model. The record is from RNAcentral.